GGGGAAUCUUCCGCAAUGGGCGAAAGCCUGACGGAGCAAUACCGCGUGAGGGAAGACUGCCUAUGGGUUGUAAACCUCUUUUUUCAGGGAGGAAUAAAUUGACGUGUACCUGAAGAAUAAGCAUCGGCUAACUCCGUGCCAGCAGCCGCGGUAAGACGGAGGAUGCAAGUGUUAUCCGGAAUCACUGGGCGUAAAGCGUCUGUAGGUGGUUUAAUAAGUCAACUGUUAAAUCUUGAGGCUCAACUUCAAAAUCGCAGUCGAAACUAUUAGACUAGAGUAUAGUAGAGGUAAAGGGAAUUUCCAGUGGAGCGGUGAAAUGCGUAGAUAUUGGAAAGAACACCAAUGGCGAAAGCACUUUACUGGGCUAUUACUAACACUCAGAGACGAAAGCCAGGGUAGCAAAUGGGAUUAGAUACCCCAGUAGUC
Molecule: ribosomal RNA, 426 nt
Filed under: uncultured cyanobacterium
Lineage: Bacteria; Bacillati; Cyanobacteriota
Description: bacterial SSU rRNA
Rfam family: Bacterial small subunit ribosomal RNA
Source: RNAcentral